This 465-nucleotide ribosomal RNA is filed under the name Vreelandella stevensii. RNAcentral describes it as "partial 16S ribosomal RNA". It matches the Rfam family "Bacterial small subunit ribosomal RNA", at positions 338 to 795 of the family's 1533-position model. Lineage: Bacteria; Pseudomonadati; Pseudomonadota; Gammaproteobacteria; Oceanospirillales; Halomonadaceae. The record is from RNAcentral.
CCUACGGGUGGCUGCAGUGGGGAAUAUUGGACAAUGGGCGAAAGCCUGAUCCAGCCAUGCCGCGUGUGUGAAGAAGGCCUUCGGGUUGUAAAGCACUUUCAGUGGGGAAGAAAGCCUUGGGGCUAAUACCCUCGAGGAAGGACAUCACCCACAGAAGAAGCACCGGCUAACUCCGUGCCAGCAGCCGCGGUAAUACGGAGGGUGCGAGCGUUAAUCGGAAUUACUGGGCGUAAAGCGCGCGUAGGCGGUCUGAUAAGCCGGUUGUGAAAGCCCCGGGCUCAACCUGGGAACGGCAUCCGGAACUGUCAGGCUAGAGUGCAGGAGAGGAAGGUAGAAUUCCCGGUGUAGAGGUGAAAUGCGUAGAGAUCGGGAGGAAUACCAGUGGCGAAGGCGGCCUUCUGGACUGACACUGACGCUGAGGUGCGAAAGCGUGGGUAGCAAACAGGAUUAGAUACCCGUGUAGUC